RNAcentral lists this ribosomal RNA (481 nucleotides) under uncultured bacterium. Its description in RNAcentral is "partial 16S ribosomal RNA". It matches the Rfam family "Bacterial small subunit ribosomal RNA", at positions 28 to 507 of the family's 1533-position model. The record is from RNAcentral.
GAUGAACGCUGGCGGCGUGCUUAACACAUGCAAGUCGAACGAAGCAUUUAGAACAGAUUACUUCGGUUUGAAGUUCUUUAUGACUGAGUGGCGGACGGGUGAGUAACGCGUGGGUAACCUGCCUUGUACUGGGGGAUAGCAGCUGGAAACGGCUGGUAAUACCGCAUAAGCGCACAAUGUUGCAUGACAUGGUGUGAAAAACUCCGGUGGUAUAAGAUGGACCCGCGUCUGAUUAGCUAGUUGGUGAGAUAACAGCCCACCAAGGCGACGAUCAGUAGCCGACCUGAGAGGGUGACCGGCCACAUUGGGACUGAGACACGGCCCAGACUCCUACGGGAGGCAGCAGUGGGGAAUAUUGCACAAUGGAGGAAACUCUGAUGCAGCGACGCCGCGUGAGUGAAGAAGUAAUUCGUUAUGUAAAGCUCUAUCAGCAGGGGAGAUAGUGACGGUACCUGACUAAGAAGCUCCGGCUAAAUACGUG